AUCCUUUUGUAAUUCAUGAGCAUGAUAAUUGAGUGUUCACAUGCAUGUGUGAAAUGUGCCACCCUCUGAACCUUUUUACAACAUGGAUGCAUCACCUGCUGGACC
Small nucleolar RNA from Callithrix jacchus (white-tufted-ear marmoset), 105 nucleotides. Lineage: Eukaryota; Metazoa; Chordata; Mammalia; Primates; Cebidae. The record is from Ensembl.